RNAcentral lists this ribosomal RNA (728 nucleotides) under uncultured bacterium. Its description in RNAcentral is "bacterial SSU rRNA". It matches the Rfam family "Bacterial small subunit ribosomal RNA", at positions 84 to 847 of the family's 1533-position model. The record is from RNAcentral.
CUUCGGAUCUAGUGGCAGACGGGUGAGUAACGCGUGGGAAUCUACCCAGUUCUCUGGAAUAACUGAUGGAAACGUCAGCUAAUACCGGAUACGCCCUUUUGGGGAAAGAUUUAUCGGGAUUGGAUGAGCCCGCGUAAGAUUAGCUAGUUGGUGGGGUAAUGGCCUACCAAGGCGACGAUCUUUAGCUGGUCUGAGAGGAUGAUCAGCCACACUGGGACUGAGACACGGCCCAGACUCCUACGGGAGGCAGCAGUGGGGAAUAUUGGACAAUGGGGGCAACCCUGAUCCAGCCAUGCCGCGUGAGUGAUGAAGGCCUUAGGGUUGUAAAGCUCUUUCACCGGUGAAGAUAAUGACGGUAACCGGAGAAGAAGCCCCGGCUAACUUCGUGCCAGCAGCCGCGGUAAUACGAAGGGGGCUAGCGUUGUUCGGAAUUACUGGGCGUAAAGCGCACGUAGGCGGAUAUUUAAGUCGGGGGUGAAAUCCCGGAGCUCAACUCCGGAACUGCCUUUGAUACUGGAUAUCUAGAGACCGAGAGAGGUAAGUGGAACUCCUAGUGUAGAGGUGGAAUUCGUAGAUAUUAGGAAGAACACCAGUGGCGAAGGCGGCUUACUGGCUCGGAACUGACGCUGAGGUGCGAAAGCGUGAGGAGCAAACAGGAUUAGAUACCCUGGUAGUCCACGCCGUAAACUAUGAGAGCUAGCCGUUGGGGGUGUUUACACUUCAGUGGC